This 207-nucleotide ribosomal RNA is filed under the name uncultured bacterium. RNAcentral describes it as "partial 16S ribosomal RNA". It matches the Rfam family "Bacterial small subunit ribosomal RNA", at positions 568 to 774 of the family's 1533-position model. The record is from RNAcentral.
CAUGUAGGCGGAUUAAUAAGUUUGAAGUGAAAUCCUAUAGCUUAACUAUAGAACUGCUUUGAAAACUGUUAAUCUAGAAUGUGGGAGAGGUAGAUGGAAUUUCUGGUGUAGGGGUAAAAUCCGUAGAAAUCAGGAGGAAUACCGAUUGCGAAGGCGAUCUACUGGAACAUUAUUGACGCUGAGAUGCGAAAGCGUGGGGAGCAAACA